RNAcentral lists this ribosomal RNA (319 nucleotides) under uncultured fungus. RNAcentral describes it as "eukaryotic LSU rRNA". The stretch from base 1 to 52 matches the Rfam family "5.8S ribosomal RNA", at positions 103 to 154 of the family's 154-position model. The record is from RNAcentral. Lineage: Eukaryota; Fungi.
AACGCACCUUGCGCUCCUUGGUAUUCCGAGGAGCAUGCCUGUUUGAGUGUCAUGGAAUUCUCAACCCUCUUAUCCUUGUGGUGAGAUUGGGUUGGAUUUGGAGGUUUAUGCUGGCUUGUAAUGAGUCGGCUCCUCUUGAAUGCAUUAGCUUGGACCUUUGCGGACCAGCUUUUCGGUGUGAUAAUUGUCUACGCCGUGGGCUGUGAUGCUGUUUAACAUGCUUCGGCGUGUUGGGGUUCUGCUUCUAAUGGUCCCUUUGGUGGGACAACUUACUUUGACCUCUGACCUCAAAUCAGGUAGGAUUACCCGCUGAACUUAA